RNAcentral lists this long non-coding RNA (3977 nucleotides) under Sus scrofa (pig). Its description in RNAcentral is "lncRNA (ENSSSCG00030063811.1)". The record is from RNAcentral. Lineage: Eukaryota; Metazoa; Chordata; Mammalia; Artiodactyla; Suidae.
AGGGUUCUAAUAGGCUUUACUUCACAUGUAAUAUAACAUGGAUAAAUAAAAAUGGAUAAAAACUAGGCAUCUGUAAGGUUUUAAUAAGAUAUUUGAUGAAGGAAAAACAGUCUAGGAUUAGCUUUGACAUUUAAAAUCUACUUUAUUUAUUUAUGUCUUUUUAGGGCCGCACCCGCAGCAUACAGAGGUUCCCAGGCUAGGGGUCCAAUCAGAGCUGUGGCCACUGGCCUACGCCACAGCCACAGCCACGCCAUUCCAAGCUGAGUCUGUGACCUGCACCACAGCUCAUGGCAAUGCUGGACCCUUAACGCACUGAGGCCAGGGACUGAACCUGCAUCCUCAUGGAUGCUAGUCAGAUUGGUUUCUGCUGAGCCAUGAUGGGAAUGCCAAAAUUCACUUAAUUUAAAUAAGGCAGAUGACCAACUUCAAGCAACCUAUUUAUUCAGCAUAAAGAACCUUUGUUUAAACAUGUUUCUCAUCUUCUACAAGAAGCAAACGCAAGUCUAAAAAAGAACCAAAACAAAACUUUUGAUUGUUUGUAAAAUAUUCUAAUUCCUUAAGAUGCCAAGAACAAUCUGCUGAAAAUAAAUUUCACAAGGGGCAGGAUUUACCUCAAGGCCAUGUUCACCUGCAACCUGCUGAUAAAUCUGUCAAAAAACAAAACAAACAAAAAAAAGAUUUCUUUAAAAAUCAGACAAUUGUAGUCACAAUCCCUCACAUUGGACAGUUGAGAGAAAUCAAAAUCUGUUCUAUCCUUAGCUUUAUCUGUAUGACUUUAUAACUCUUGAGCAAGUUUUUAACAUAAUCUUUGGCUUCCCCACCCUUACAGGGAAAAGAGAAUAUGGAAAACAAUCAAAGAAUCCUAGUGUAAACUAAUCCAGGUUUAGUGAUUCAGAAUACUCAGAAUUUAAGUCACCCUUAUUAGAUGAGAUUGGAAGGUUGGUUAGAGACUGGAGUUAUAAAAUGAUACUAUUUCUGAUAAAAUGAAAUUGCCUUUUAUUUGGAAAAGUUUAUACUUAAUAAUUGACUUCCUGAUGGUUCAAACAACAAUAUGCAAUCACAUGUGCUUGGUCAUCAAUUUGCUCUUCUCGUCCUCCAAAAUUUGUUAAAUCACAAUUUUAUACGGCUCACACACUGACAGCUGCCCCUGGCACAAUUCACCAUGAUGUGACAUUCUGUAAAUGAGACCAUGUUGGUUUCUAUCUAAGGAGGUUUAGCUACCAGAAAACUUCCUAUAAAGACUGCACUACAGGAAAGGUCCUCUCCUCUGCUUUCAUCAACUGCCAAGUUCUAGUCACGGUCCCAUCAAUUAGAGUAAGAUGCUCAUGAGUUCAGUAUGUCUUUCUUUAUCCUCGCUCAUCUGUAAAUGUACUACUGCUACUUUCUACAGAAGACAAUGGAAAGUGUGUAAUUGCUGUUGGUAGAAAAGUAGGUCUUGAAUUCAUCUUGCAAACAAGACCUGUUCUAUCUACCUUUUCAUUUAGGAGGCUAAAAGCAGAAUCGGCUUGACUUCAAGGACUCUGUUUUCUUAGUCUCCAGAAGAACCUGACAAUCCAACUUUCAAAACACUGUCCUCUAGGAGCUUCCUGGGGGCAUAGCAGUGAAGGACCCAGUGUUGUCAAUGCUGUGGUGCGGGUCUGAUCCCUGACCUGGGAAUUUCCACAUGCCACAGGUGUGGCCAAAAAAUUUAAAAAAAAGAUAAAAUGCUGUCCUCUAGCAUGUGAAGAUAUUAAGGGAAUAGUAAUUUAUUGCUACUAUAAUUUCAAGUUUUAAGAGAUUUCAACUCUUACAUUUGUGUGCUUCACUGCAACCAAUGGGUAAUGAAUCUAAAUGCAAGAUAACAGUUUGUGAUGGAAAGAUCCCACCCAGUCAGUAUCUUUUCUGUCAGGAAGUCUCCUGGAAGGAGCAUAACAAUGAGCUGGGUACAAUGUCCCAAGUCAGAAAAAUGCCCCAAACUUUUCCAAAAUGAUACUCAACAGGGGCUAGUUCAUGUCUUACUACUUUACAGCUUGUUUUCUGCUAUUCCCCAAUUCCAGAAAAAAAUGAAGCCCAACCCACUAACUGAUUGCUUUUUCUUCAUUUCCCCAAACUUUGACAGGAUCAGGUUUUUCUGCUCUAUUUCCACCUCACUCAAAUCCUGGUGGAAUUAAACUAUCAUUUAUUUGAAUUAUGCAAAUUCAGCUAAACAGCUUACGGCUGAUUAAAACAACAUGCAGUCACCCAGACAUAGCCAAUAAAAAUGUUUUUGUAGUAGGAACUUGGACUCUAAUCUUGCUGUCUCCCCUGUGCUCAUUCCUUAACCUAAAUGCGGGUCCCUUCUUGAAAACAGCUUAAGAGAUGUCCUCAUAUUCAAACAGACUGGACUGGAGACAAGAAUAUAAUCCACUCGCUGGGUCAGCACCCAGCCAACAAAAUUGAGGCUUCCCAGUUAUGCAUUUAAACAAAGCAGGAACUUAGUUUUCAGGGAUGGGUUCACUGAGUAUAUACAUUAUUUCUUGGUAAAGCCAUCCUAUCAUUCUGCCACUCAGAAGGAUUUCUACCCUCUGACCUCCUUUCAUAUCCCAAAUACCACCCCAUUAAGGGGGAGGGGACAAUGAGAGAGAAGGAAAACAAGAGAAGCACUAUCCAAAAAUAAGAAGAGAGCUCUGGAAAAGACACUUGACAGUAUCUUUUACACAAAUUAUAAACCAGCCACAGAUUCCUAGGCACCUAGAAUGGACCUCCCCUUUCUGGUCCACCUAAGUAAUCCCUGUAUUGCUCAAAAGUCACUUCUUAGAAGCACUGCCUAAUUCUUCCCUCUCCCAGGUCAAGUGCCACACACUCACCUCCUUUAGAAUACUUAAGUGGCUAUACUGCCACCAUGACCUGUGCAACUCCACUUGGCUGUAAGCAAAUCAAAGGAAUUAUGCCUUCACAAUCUCAGAAUGCUCAGAACAUGGAAACCACAGUGUUCUCCUUUAAAAGAGCUCAUACACCUGAAAAGAAAAAGGAGACACAUAAUUGUCUUUCAAGUUAAAAGAAAAGCUUCUUUAAUAGAAAGUAGCUUUCGGAGUUCCUGUCGUGGCGCAGUGGUUAAUGAAUUCGACUAGAAACCAUGAGGUUGCGGGUUCGAUCCCUGGCCUUGCUCAGUGGGUUAAGGAUCUGGCGUUGCUGUGAGCUGUGGUGUAGGCCGGCGGCUACAGCUCUGAUUAGACCCCCAGUCUGCGAACCUCCAUAUGCCGCGAGAGCAGCUCAAGAAAAGGCAAAAAGACAAAAAUAAAUAAAUAAAUAAAAAUUUUUUUAAAAAUAAAAAGCGAAGGCAGUACGAUGUGAAGGAAAGAAUUUGGGGUUGGAAAUGAAGAAAUCUCAUUUCUAGUCCUGUUUCUGUCAAUAAUAAUCUGUUUAACUUUCAGCCUGUCUCCUCUCAGACACUGCGCUUAAGAGGAAAGGAGGGGUAUGACCUAUACAGCUCAGUUCCACCGUAAUACCAAAUGAACUUGCUGGCUGAUUCGGGAAACUUAUUACUAACUGAGGGUGUACUUUUUCCAAUUAAUGCAACACGAGCUGCUGCCUCAAGCCGUCUUAGAACGUCUGGGUUUGUACAGAACUUCACGUUACAUACCUCAUGCAACAAAGGGCAUUUCCCAUGUGAAAUUUCGCCUAUUGAAAUUUGUUCUUAAUCUUUUUGAGUGUGGACUUCUCCCUUCCACAUUUAUCCCUACGACAGCUCCAUGUGCAACCAAGCUCGUUUUUCACACGAAGUUGAGAAAGGUGAGCACAGUGUGUUUGAGCCCUUCCUCGCUGGUGGCCCUGGCCCGGCGACAGAUACCUCGACCCCUCACCUCUACUUCGGUUCCCCGCCGCAUCCUCUGAAGCCCUAUACUCCAGACUGACUGCCUAUAAGGACGCUGCUGUCACCUACCCUGCUGGGUGGCCGGAACUCGGCCUCACUUUACGCCGUGUAAACAACCUCCCCUACCGUCUCCGAUCUCGGUGGC